Molecule: non-coding RNA, 69 nt
Organism: Ictidomys tridecemlineatus (thirteen-lined ground squirrel)
Lineage: Eukaryota; Metazoa; Chordata; Mammalia; Rodentia; Sciuridae
Source: Rfam
GGGGCUGUGGCUCAUUGGUAGAGCGCCUGCCUGGCACUUAUGAGGCACUGGGUUCGAUCCUCAGCACCA